ACGGCUCAGUAACACGUGGCUAACCCACCCUUGAGACGGAGAAAACCCCGGGAAACUGGGGUUAAUCUCCGAUAAGAGAAGACACCUGGAGUGGGUCUCCUCUCAAAGGGCGCCUAGACCAUGCUUCUAGGCGUUGCUCAAGGACGGGGCCGCGGCCGAUCAGGUCGUUGGUGAGGCAACGGCUCACCAAGCCUAUAACCGGUACGGGCCGUGAGAGCGGGAGCCCGGAGAUGGGCACUGAGACAAGGGCCCAGGCCCUACGGGGCGCAGCAGUUGCGAAAACUCCGCAAUGCACGAAAGUGUGACGGGGCUACCCCGAGUGCCGUCCGCUGAGGGCGGCUUUUCCCCGGUGUAAGGAGCCGGGGGAAUAAGGAGAGGGCAAGUCUGGUGUCAGCCGCCGCGGUAAUACCAGCUCUCCGAGUGGUAGGGAUGAUUAUUGGGCUUAAAGCGUCCGUAGCCGGCCCGGCAAGUCUUCCGUUAAAUCCAACGAUUCAAUCGUUGGACUGCAGGAGAUACUGCUGGGCUAGGAGGCGGGAGAGGCCGACGGUAUUCUCGGGGUAGGGGUAAAAUCCUAUAAUCCCGGGAGGACCACCAGUGGCGAAGGCGGUCGGCUAGAACGCGCUCGACGGUGAGGGACGAAAGCUGGGGGAGCGAACCGGAUUAGAUACCCGGGUAGUCCCAGCUGUAAACGAUGCGGGCUAGGUGUUGGGGCGGCUACGGGCCGCUUCAGUGCCGCAGGGAAACCAUUAAGCCCGCCGCCUGGGGAGUACGGCCGCAAGGCUGAAACUUAAAGGAAUUGGCGGGGGAG
Molecule: ribosomal RNA, 808 nt
Filed under: uncultured archaeon
Lineage: Archaea
Description: bacterial SSU rRNA
Rfam family: Archaeal small subunit ribosomal RNA
Source: RNAcentral